GAACGGAAAGGCCCUGCUUGCAGGGUACUCGAGUGGCGAACGGGUGAGUAACACGUGGGUGAUCUGCCCUGCACUUCGGGAUAAGCCUGGGAAACUGGGUCUAAUACCGGAUAGGAGCCAUUUUUAGUGUGAUGGUUGGAAAGUUUUUUCGGUGUAGGAUGAGCUCGCGGCCUAUCAGCUUGUUGGUAGGGUAAUGGCCUACCAAGGCGGCGACGGGUAGCCGGCCUGAGAGGGUGGACGGCCACAUUGGGACUGAGAUACGGCCCAGACUCCUACGGGGGGCAGCAGUGGGGAAUAUUGCACAAUGGGCGCAAGCCUGAUGCAGCGACGCCGCGUGGGGGAUGACGGCCUUCGGGUUGUAAACUCCUUUCGCUAGGGACGAAGCUUUUUGUGACGGUACCUAGAUAAGAAGCACCGGCUAACUACGUGCCAGCAGCCGCGGUAAUACGUAGGGUGCGAGCGUUGUCCGGAAUUACUGGGCGUAAAGGGCUCGUAGGUGGUUUGUCGCGUCGUCUGUGAAAUUCCGGGGCUUAACUCCGGGCGUGCAGGCGAUACGGGCAUAACUUGAGUACUGUAGGGGUAACUGGAAUUCCUGGUGUAGCGGUGAAAUGCGCAGAUAUCAGGAGGAACACCGAUGGCGAAGGCAGGUUACUGGGCAGUUACUGACGCUGAGGAGCGAAAGCAUGGGUAGCGAACAGGAUUA
RNAcentral lists this ribosomal RNA (703 nucleotides) under uncultured Actinomycetales bacterium. RNAcentral describes it as "bacterial SSU rRNA". It matches the Rfam family "Bacterial small subunit ribosomal RNA", at positions 64 to 780 of the family's 1533-position model. Lineage: Bacteria; Bacillati; Actinomycetota; Actinomycetes; Actinomycetales. The record is from RNAcentral.